This 420-nucleotide ribosomal RNA is filed under the name uncultured bacterium. RNAcentral's name for it is "bacterial SSU rRNA". It matches the Rfam family "Bacterial small subunit ribosomal RNA", at positions 355 to 774 of the family's 1533-position model. The record is from RNAcentral.
UAAGGAAUAUUGCUCAAUGGGAGAAAUCCUGAAGCAGCGACGCCGCGUGGAGGAUGAAGGGUCUAUGACUUGUAAACUCCUGUAAAGAAGGAAAAAAUUCCCAUUAGAUGGGAGAUGAUGGUACUUCUGGAGUAAGCCCCGGCUAACUACGUGCCAGCAGCCGCGGUAAUACGUAGGGGGCAAGCGUUGUCCGGAUUUACUGGGUGUAAAGGGUGCUCAGGCGGAUUUGUAAGUCAGAGGUGAAAUCUUACAGCUUAACUGUGAAACUGCCUUUGAUACUGCAAGCCUAGAGUAUGGAAGAGAGUGAUGGAAUAUCUGGUGUAGCAGUGAAAUGCGUAGAUAUCAGAUAGAACACCAAUGGCGAAGGCAGUCACUUGGUCCAUUACUGACGCUAAAGCACGAAAGCGUGGGUAGCAAACA